Molecule: long non-coding RNA, 1440 nt
Organism: Octodon degus (degu)
Lineage: Eukaryota; Metazoa; Chordata; Mammalia; Rodentia; Octodontidae
Exons: 3
Source: RefSeq, a predicted model, not a curated record
UACUAUAUAGUUCAGGCUUACCUUAAACUCACUAUGUAACCUAGGCUCUUCUUCAACUAGAAGGGAUCCUCCUUCAGUCUCCUUCCUCACAGUAUAUCAGUGUGCACCACUGUGCCUGGCUCCUGUGUGUUAUUUCCUAAACCACUGGUUAUAGAUCAAUAUUUGUCCCUAUGAGGAGACUCAGGCUGGAGAAGUGAUGAAAUGAUUGCAAAGGUGAAGGACUGCCUAGAGCAACAGUACAGGGACCCUAAAAUGAUGGUUACAGUUGAAAGCUGGCCUGCAGGGCCAUAGCCAAGCAGUAUCAGAAACAGGCUAUCCUCAGGUAUGUUUGUUUCAGCCACUGUUCUCUGCAUAUCCGAUGGCUUGCUUAGAUUAGAUCAAAAUGAGUCCUGUAGCACUCCGCUCUGUCCUUUCCUGUCCCCUGACCUGAAUUCCUGCACAGAUGUCUGUCUUUCCUCUCACACCUUGAGUUAAGAAUAAAAGACAAGAGCUUCUCAGCUCCGUGCUGCUUCCCUGAGGCUUUCUCAUGCUGAAGGAGCCUUGGCAGGAUAGCCCCUCUGGGCCUGUUGGAGUUUGAACUGGACUUUGAGUAAUCUCAUCCUCUGCACUGCCAUGGUCAUACACAUCGACAAGUGCUUCCUCAUGUGAGGUCUUUUCUGAAGUUCAUCCUAGAAGAUCGAUCUCCCAGAGCCUGGAAAAGGAACAAGGAUGUCCGAUUCUUCAUUAUGGUUCCCAAGAAUGCAGUUCCUCCAUAUUGUGUGGCACCAAUUGACAAGCAGCUUGGAGAAGAUGGUACUUCCACUCUGGGGAUAGUCAACAAGAAGAGCAAAGUGAAUGUGUUGCCAUCUACAACACGGUCAUCAAUACCCACCUGGGGAGAGAUUAAGCAGCUCACUGCUCAAGCCAAACGAAUAGUGCAGAGCACUGGCACACCUCUCACACUAGAAAACCUCUUUCUGGCAAUGAUAGCACAAGUCACCUAUAAUUCUGCAAAGCCCUUAGAGCACUUUGUGAGCUGUUCCAAUGGACCCUCUGUGCAGAAGCCAUGAUGACCUUCAUAUGUCAAGCACAGUACCCCUCAACCCUGUAUUCGCCACCUUCUGCUCAAAACCUGGACUAUAAAACAAAAGAUGAUUCAGGCUGGAGAAAUGAUGAAAUGAUUGCAAAGAUGAAGGACUACCUAAAGCAACAGUACAGGGACCCUAAAAUGAUGGUUACAGUUGAAAGCUGGCCUGCAGGGCCAUAGCCAAGCAGUAUCAGAAACAGGCUAUCCUCAGAUAUGUUUGCUCCAGCCACUGUUCUCUGCAUAUUCGAUGGCUUGCUUAGAUUAGAUCAAAAUGAGUCCUGUAGCACUCCGCUCUGUCCUUUCCUGUCCCCUGACAUGAAUUCCUGCACAGAUGUCUGUCUUUCCUCUCACACCUUGAGUUAAGAAUAAAAGAC